GGGUCAGGAGGUUGGUCGUGCCACCGGUACGUACUGGUCUCACUGAUUCCUCCUUCCUGAAGAACCGUAAUGCCAUUAAUUUGGUGUUGCGGGGAAACAGGACCGUUACUUUGAAAAAAUUAGAGUGUUUAAAGCAAGCUAACGCUUGAAUACAUUAGCAUGGAAUAAUGAAAUAGGACGAUCGAUCCUAUUUUGUUGGUUUCUAGGAUUGACGUA
Molecule: ribosomal RNA, 216 nt
Filed under: Glomeromycotina sp.
Lineage: Eukaryota; Fungi; Glomeromycota
Description: partial small subunit ribosomal RNA
Rfam family: Eukaryotic small subunit ribosomal RNA (bases 40-216)
Source: RNAcentral